UCUGAUCUAUGAUGACUUUUGAAAUUAAGUGGACUGCUGGAUGAAGCUUGCGGAUAUGGGACUGAGAUCAGGC
This is a small nucleolar RNA of Girardinichthys multiradiatus, 73 nucleotides long. RefSeq annotates it as small nucleolar RNA SNORD99. The record is from RefSeq and is a predicted model, not a curated record. NCBI's taxonomy places the organism in Eukaryota, Metazoa, Chordata, Actinopteri, Cyprinodontiformes, Goodeidae. The transcript has a single exon.